RNAcentral lists this ribosomal RNA (428 nucleotides) under uncultured Bacteroidota bacterium. Its description in RNAcentral is "bacterial SSU rRNA". It matches the Rfam family "Bacterial small subunit ribosomal RNA", at positions 545 to 975 of the family's 1533-position model. Lineage: Bacteria; Pseudomonadati; Bacteroidota. The record is from RNAcentral.
CCGGAUUUAUUGGGUUUAAAGGGUGCGUAGGUGGGCUUAUAAGUCAGCGGUGAAAUCCCCCGGCUCAACCAGGGAAUUGCCGUUGAUACUGUUAGCCUUGAGUACAGUUGAAGUGGGCGGAAUGUAGCAUGUAGCGGUGAAAUGCAUAGAUAUGCUACAGAACACCAAUAGCGAAGGCAGCUCACUAAGUUGUAACUGACACUAAUGCACGAAAGCGUGGGGAUCAAACAGGAUUAGAUACCCUGGUAGUCCACGCUGUAAACGAUGAUCACUCGUUGUUGGCGAUAUACAGUCAGCGACUGAACGAAGGUAUUAAGUGAUCCACCUGGGGAGUACGAUCGCAAGGUUGAAACUCAAAGGAAUUGACGGGGGCCCGCACAAGCGGUGGAGCAUGUGGUUUAAUUCGAUGAUACGCGAGGAACCUUACC